UGCGCAGGCGGCCUGAUAAGUCAGGGGUGAAAUAUGACGGCUUAACCGUCAAACGGCCCCUGAAACUGCCAGGCUUGAGUCCGGGAGAGGAUGGUGGAAUUCCUGGUGUAGCGGUGAAAUGCGUAAAUAUCAGGAGGAACACCGGUGGCGAAGGCGGCCAUCUGGCCCGGUACUGACGCUCAGGCACGAAAGCUAGGGGAGCGAACAGGAUUAGAUACCCUGGUAGUC
RNAcentral lists this ribosomal RNA (228 nucleotides) under uncultured bacterium. RNAcentral describes it as "partial 16S ribosomal RNA". It matches the Rfam family "Bacterial small subunit ribosomal RNA", at positions 568 to 795 of the family's 1533-position model. The record is from RNAcentral.